GAUAGUUAAGAUUGAACUAGCAGAUGAGAAUCCUAGUCAUUGGCCAAGUAGCUUUGAAUCUAAUACAUGUUUCUGUGUAUUCAUUUGGGCCUAACUCGGGCUGGCGUAAAGCUCACAUGCAGCGGUGGGGCUCAGGCGGCUUUUGGCAGAAAGAUUUAUCAUAACACCAGCCUCUUUUGGUCCCUUUGCUAUCCCAGUUCCUAGGGCUCGCCUGACAUUCAAAAGGUGCUCAGUAAACAUUGAUGCGUGGUUGGCUGAAUUAAUAAUAGAUGGACGUGAGGUUCACUGGCCAUCAGUCCGAGGUGUCAGGUACAGGGGCGCUCACUGAAAGGCUUUCUCUAACUGCUCCUUCCUCCUUUCUUCUUCAGCAACGUGAGGAUGUGGACUAUAGACCUGACUUCUGGGUCCCAGGCCUGAGAAGCUCUCAGAAUAUCAGCCAGUGCCAGAAAGCCUUUCCCCUAGUGGCUAAGCAACCCUCCAUUGCUCAUUCUGCUUUCUGCUCUCUUUAAAGGGGACAGUGUGACCAGAAGUGGCUGGUGGCCUUUGCAACAGCAGGGGGAUUUGGGAGAGGAUGUCCCAGAGUGCCUCCGUGGCUGUGAGAAAUGGCUGAAGCAUAAGCACAAGGAAGACAUUUUGGGGAACAUCAUCGUUCACCUCGGGAGUGAUGGGUGGUCGGCUGUGUGAAGAUGAAGCUCAGUAUCUCCUUCCCCACCAUCAGAACCACCAGAAACUCAAGCUUUGGACAUUCUGUGAGAAUCGCAUAGCCACAGAGGUAGCUGCUGAUGCUCUGGGGGAAGAGUAGAAGGGUUGUGUGGUCCAAUUCAGUGGCAGGAAUGACAAGGUUUUCACAUAAAGCAAGGUCUUUUGACCCAUGACAGAGAACACCUGCUGUUGAUUAAGGGGCAUUUUUGUUACAGACCAAGGAGAACUGGAGAGAGGAAGCACUGAGGAUACAUCAUGGAUGCCAAUCUGAGUGUUCUCAACUUGGUUAUUAUAAAAAAAAGAGAGAGAGAGAGAGAGAGAGAGAAAGAGAGAGAAGGAUAUUCUGGGACUAACAGAUACUACUGGUUCCUCAUCAGUUGGGACCUAAAAGAGCUAGCAGACUCUGAAAGCUUUUUAAUCUCUCUAAAGAUGAUUUCUACCAAUAUGUGGGAAAGCCUUUAAACAAAAAAGGGUUUCUGUUUCGACGCCUCUCCACAUGAGGCCUGAUGCAGCUCUCACCGAAUGGAAAAACCUGUCCCCAACUCACCCAACCCAGCCUGCC
RNAcentral lists this long non-coding RNA (1264 nucleotides) under Cricetulus griseus (Chinese hamster). RNAcentral's name for it is "lncRNA (ENSCGRG00015040560.1)". Lineage: Eukaryota; Metazoa; Chordata; Mammalia; Rodentia; Cricetidae. The record is from RNAcentral.